Molecule: ribosomal RNA, 497 nt
Filed under: uncultured bacterium
Lineage: Bacteria
Description: partial 16S ribosomal RNA
Rfam family: Bacterial small subunit ribosomal RNA
Source: RNAcentral
GAUGAACGCUGGCGGCGUGCCUAAUACAUGCAAGUCGAGCGAACAGAUGAGGAGCUUGCUCCUCUGACGUUAGCGGCGGACGGGUGAGUAACACGUGGAUAACCUACCUAUAAGACUUGGAUAACUUCGGGAAACCGGAGCUAAUACCGGAUAAUAUAUUGAACCGCAUGGUUCAAUAGUGAAAGACGGUUUUGCUGUCACUUAUAGAUGGAUCCGCGCCGCAUUAGCUAGUUGGUAAGGUAACGGCUUACCAAGGCAACGAUGCGUAGCCGACCUGAGAGGGUGAUCGGCCACACUGGAACUGAGACACGGUCCAGACUCCUACGGGAGGCAGCAGUAGGGAAUCUUGCGCAAUGGGCGAAAGCCUGACGGAGCAACGCCGCAUGAGUGAUGAAGGUCUUCGGAUCGUAAAACUCUGUUAUUAGGGAAGAACAAAUGUGUAAGUAACUAUGCACGUCUUGACGGUACCUAAUCAGAAAGCCACGGCUAACUACGUG